This 72-nucleotide transfer RNA is filed under the name Tetraselmis marina. Its description in RNAcentral is "tRNA-Gln". It matches the Rfam family "tRNA". From Rfam's summary of the family: Transfer RNA (tRNA) molecules are approximately 80 nucleotides in length. The record is from RNAcentral. RNAcentral also lists the same sequence under 1 other name. Lineage: Eukaryota; Viridiplantae; Chlorophyta; Chlorodendrophyceae; Chlorodendrales; Chlorodendraceae.
UGGAGUAUCGCCAAGUGGUAAGGCAAUGGACUUUGAAUCCAUCAUACAAAGGUUCGAUCCCUUUUACUCCAG